This 350-nucleotide transfer-messenger RNA is filed under the name bovine gut metagenome. It matches the Rfam family "transfer-messenger RNA". Rfam says of the family: Bacterial tmRNA, also known as 10Sa RNA or SsrA, is named for its dual tRNA and mRNA-like properties. Its role is to liberate the mRNA from a stalled ribosome. The record is from RNAcentral.
GGGGAUGUAACGGAUUCGACGGGGAUACAGAGAUUUGAUAAGCGGGCGGAUGUGACCUGCAUCCUAAAAAGGUCAACUCUUAUAAAUUAAAGAACAACGAUAAUACUGUUCUUCUCGCUGCUUGAUCAGUGAGCGUCUGUUUCGGGAAUACCACGGCCCGAUCUCAGGCGUCGAUUAGUGGUGCACGUGAGCUUUCAAAGCUUUGAGAAGGCCAUGAAUAAUGAAGCUACCUGACUUCUGAGUCUGACAACUGACGCUUAAGAAAGGGAAUCUCAAAUAAUUGUCUGCGCCCGGAGAAAGUUAUUUUGAAGUGUUUUCGGACGGGGGUUCAACUCCCCCCAUCUCCACCA